UGCCCCUUGGCUGAGUUGGUUACAGCAGUCGACUGUUAAACAGUCAAUCCAAUAGGAUUACGCAACAAUCGGAAGGUCGUGAGUUCGACCCUCACAGGGGCAG
Molecule: non-coding RNA, 103 nt
Organism: Kwoniella sp. DSM 27419
Lineage: Eukaryota; Fungi; Basidiomycota; Tremellomycetes; Tremellales; Cryptococcaceae
Source: the annotation of a GenBank genome assembly